UUUUUUCCCAGGAAGAGGUCUUCCCGGGAAAUUGAAAAAGAAAAUCUGGAAUGAUUUGGCUGCUAGGAUUUUGCUAGUUUCCCAAGUUUUAAUAGUUUAAUUUUCUUAGACCCACAUGGACCAUGGGUCCUUGUGUGGGAGAAGGUCUUGGUGCAUAAUUGCAUAUAUGCAGGACACUAGCAAACAAUACUGAGAGUAAAUUAAGAUUUGGCCAUAUUUGCUGUUUGCCACAUUGUAGUUUAAUACACUAAUUUCCAUCACCAACCUGGACCAGCCUCACCUCCGGGUUCACUCUAGCCACCAAUGGGCUCACACCACCUAGGCUUAGUUUCGACUAUUUUAACAGUUGAUAUUGUUACAAUUAGUUUACUACUAAGAUUCUCAGGAAGGUUUGGUCCCUCAGAAUGUGCUGUCAUACAUGCUGCUUUUCUGGCUUUCUACAUAGUUACAAAGAACAAUGCCAACAUUGAAAAAGAUGGAUGGCUUAAAUUUGUCUGAUAUUUUACAGGGCAGAUAGUCAGUAGUGUUUAGUACUUUACCUAUAGAAAAGAUACCUUGUCAUGUAACUAGGAAGUGGGCAGUACCUGGAUUUGAGUACUGCUGUUUGUUUAAUGAGUUGGGUGCAAAGUACAGAUUCCUAGAGUAUCAUCUCCCGGACGCAUGUUGCCAUGUAUUGUUGGAAAAAGUUAUGGUAAAAGGUUGGGGAAUGGAAUUAUUGAAUUUGAG
Molecule: long non-coding RNA, 726 nt
Filed under: Theobroma cacao (cacao)
Lineage: Eukaryota; Viridiplantae; Streptophyta; Magnoliopsida; Malvales; Malvaceae
Description: long non-coding RNA (TCAC_LNC004108)
Source: RNAcentral